UUGUUUUCUGUUUUUGUUUUUGUUUUUGUUUGAGGCAGAAUCUCACUCUGUCACCCAGGCUGGUGUGCAGUGUGCAGUGACACAAUCAUGGCUCACUGCAGCCUUGACUUCCCAUGCUCAGGUGACCCUCCCACCUCCGCCUCCUGAGUAGCUGGGACUACAGGCACACACCACUAUGCCAGCUAAUUUUUGAUUUUUUGUAGAGAUGGGAUUUUGCAUGUUGUUCAGGCUCUUCUGAAACUUCUGGACUCGGGGCAUCCACCCGCCUUGGCCUCCCAAAGUGCUGGGAUUACAGGUGUGAGCCACUGUGCCUGGCCAAGAAGUGGGGUUUCUGAUACAAUGGCCUUGGUGGAAUUCAGAAUUUAGAAUAGCAGUGAGAGUCUGGUGAGAGUCCAGUGAUGGCAGGGGGCCUAAUAAAGGUGGCCAAUGAAAGGCAGAAGAAGAUGGAAGAAGAAGCAAUUGGCUCUCACAAGACUAAAAUUCUAGGGCCUUCAGUCAUCAACUGCUAGCCAAUUUUCUGAAGUUUCUGGGCAUACCGCAGCGUGUGCUCCAAAAAACUUCCAUACAGUCACUGCAUCUGGGUACUGGUCACUCCACGGAAUCUCUUGGGACAAUUCCUCUUAUACCAAAUGUAACUGUCACUUUCAUGUGGACAGUCUUUUAUCCUUAACUUUGGCACAUACUUAGAUUUUAAAAUUCUUCUCAGUCCUCUAUAAUUGGCACCGUAAUUUGCAGAGUUCCUGGCUUUUAUUAUUGCAUUUCAUAUAGUCUCAGUCAAGCUCUAAGAGACUAUAAAGCCCGUGGCUGGAAUUGGAUUCAAUGCUGUAGUGCAGAGCUCAAAACCGGUUGAGGAAAAUCUGAAAGACUAGUUACUGAGAGACCAGAAUGAAUCAGGAGAGUGAGUGUGGUUCUUCAGAUGAAGAUAAGCUGAAGCUACCACUUGUCACAACUAAACAAAAGACUACAAGCAAGAGUCAUCCAUCAUAUCCCAGACAAUCCACAGAAUAUGACAGAAAAUAAAAUAUUGGUAUUUUUAGCCACUACAUUUUGGAGUGAUUUGUUAGUGGAUGGCCAAUCUUUCCUUUUGCUUAGAAUUGAAGGCUUUUGUGGGAUGCAGGACUUUGAGUGGUAAAGCUGGAACAGUCUUAGGCAAACCAAGAUAGACAGCAAUAGAUAAUCAGAACAAGCCUGUGAUCACCACUGUUUGAUCACCAUUGUUGCAUGGUGAUUAAGCAAUAGAUUCUGGGUAUAAAAACCAGCUGCUUUGACUGUAGACCUCACUAUGCUAUUCUGCCUCCGGAGUCAAAUCAGAAUAUUACAUUAAGUCAACCUUAAAUUCACUUCCAUUUCUAAAUCCUAAGUUCCUUAGCACAUCUUCAGGGAAGACCUCCAGGUAGCCCUGCUCCUCUUCUGAAUCAGAUGAGAUUCCUGCAACAUCAUACACAUACUUUGUGAUGAUCAGUUUUGCAAUUAUUUUAUUAAAAUGUGAUUUGCUCACUAGACAGCGAGUUCAUUAUUGAAUAUCUGGCACCUACCUUAGUGUUCAUUAUGUGCAAAAUGUCACUUCAAUAUUGGUUAAAAUAAUAAAUGUUUUAAAGCUCCAUAGACUGAUUUUAAAUUGUCUUUACAAUGUGAGAGAAUCAAUUUUGAUGCUGGUAAAUGUC
This is a long non-coding RNA of Macaca mulatta (Rhesus monkey), 1664 nucleotides long. NCBI's taxonomy places the organism in Eukaryota, Metazoa, Chordata, Mammalia, Primates, Cercopithecidae. The record is from Ensembl.